UUACGAUCAAACCAGGUUGAAAAACCGGUUCCCGUAUGAUCAUCGAAGUUAAGCAAAAUCGAGCCUGCUCAGUAACUAGAUGAGCGACUGCUUGCGAAUACCAGGUGCUAUA
Acanthosepion pharaonis is the source of this 112-nucleotide non-coding RNA. The record is from the annotation of a GenBank genome assembly. NCBI's taxonomy places the organism in Eukaryota, Metazoa, Mollusca, Cephalopoda, Sepiida, Sepiidae.